Molecule: transfer RNA, 71 nt
Filed under: Candidatus Moraniibacteriota bacterium
Lineage: Bacteria; Candidatus Moraniibacteriota
Description: Candidatus Moranbacteria bacterium tRNA-Trp
Rfam family: tRNA
About the family: Transfer RNA (tRNA) molecules are approximately 80 nucleotides in length.
Source: RNAcentral
GCGGGAUUAGUUAAAUGGUAUAAUGGCGGUCUCCAAAACCGCGGUUGGGGGUUCGAUUCCCUCAUCCCGUG